RNAcentral lists this ribosomal RNA (251 nucleotides) under uncultured prokaryote. RNAcentral's name for it is "partial 16S rRNA". It matches the Rfam family "Bacterial small subunit ribosomal RNA", at positions 525 to 775 of the family's 1533-position model. The record is from RNAcentral.
ACGGGGGGUGCUAGCGUUGUUCGGAAUCAUUGGGCGUAAAGAGCGUGUAGGCGGCUGGAUAAGUCAGAUGUGAAAGCCCUGGGCUUAACCCAGGAAGUGCAUUUGAAACUGUUCAGCUUGAGUAAGGGAGAGGAAAGUGGAAUUCCUGGUGUAGAGGUGAAAUUCGUAGAUAUCAGGAGGAACACCUGUGGCGAAAGCGGUUUCCCGGACCAAUACUGACGCUGAGGCGCGAAGGCGCGGGGAUCAAACAG